GAUGAACGCUAGCUACAGGCUUAACACAUGCAAGUCGCAGGGUAACAUGAGGACAGCUUGCUUUCCUUGAUGACGACUGGCGCACGGGUGAGUAACGCGUAUCCAACCUUCCCAUAACUACGGGAUAACCCGUUGAAAGACGGCCUAAUACCGUAUGAUAUCGUUUGCUGACAUCAAAUAACGAUUAAAGGUUUAGCGGUUAUGGAUGGGGAUGCGUCUGAUUAGCUUGUUGGCGGGGUAACGGCCCACCAAGGCGACGAUCAGUAGGGGUUCUGAGAGGAAGGUCCCCCACAUUGGAACUGAGACACGGUCCAAACUCCUACGAGAGGCAGCAGUGAGGAAUAUUGGUCAAUGGGCGAGAGCCUGAACCAGCCAAGUAGCGUGCAGGACGACGGCCCUAUGGGUUGUAAACUGCUUUUAUGUGGGGAUAAAGUGCGUGACGUGUCAUGCAUUGCAGGUACCACAUGAAUAAGGACCGGCUAAUUCCGUG
This 490-nucleotide ribosomal RNA is filed under the name uncultured bacterium. RNAcentral's name for it is "partial 16S ribosomal RNA". It matches the Rfam family "Bacterial small subunit ribosomal RNA", at positions 28 to 507 of the family's 1533-position model. The record is from RNAcentral.